ACCAGGUUGGCCUCAAACUUAUAGAGAUCCACUUCCCUAUGCCUCCCUAGUGCCAUGAUUUAAGGCAUUGAUCACCAUGCCUUGGCUUUCAAAGUCUUAAAAACACGAUUCCCCUGUCUUGACAGGAGGAGAGUAGGAAGGAAGUACCCGCUUGUUUAUCCCCUAAGAGGUAACCGACUGCAGGACUUUCGUUUUGCUCAGCGCUGCUCACUGCCAUGUUUGCUGUCUUUCCUCAAGGCCAAGGGUCAUUUGCUCAGCGCUCUGGUCCUCUAUAUCCAGGUAUACUUCACAGCUCUGAGCCUCAGGGGCCUUUGGGCCGCCAACAUCCCCAUGGUCCCAACGCAAGGGCUCCCCCUGGUGGCGUCAGGACAGCCUACAUGGCAGAGUGUUAAGCAGGGCUUCAGGGUUACCCAACAACCCACCUAGAUCCAGAGGCUCCUAGAGGUUAUCUGGUUUGGCCCUGAACUAGUUAGAGUGGUGAGUUCUAGUGUAUACUAGGAACCUACAUAAAACUUGGGUGAGGGAAUUAUCUUUCCAGUAGAUAAAAGGCUUGGCCUCCUCCUCCAUCCGUUGGGCUCCUUUGGACUUUCCUGGCUUUUCUGUACUUCCUACUGUCUACUGUAGCUAAUGUUUAGAAGCUAGGAUCUGCAUAUGAACAAGGAGAUGGUAUUUUUUCUUUCUAAGCCUGGAUUAUAUGAAUUUUAUAACUUGGUUUUGCUUUACAACUGAAUGCAAUUCCACCAUGUAUGUGCUCCCCAUUUCAUUACCAGUUCGUGUAUUGAUGGACAUCUAGGCUGAUUUUUGUUUUAAGAGAGAGAAAGAAUAUGAUGUUGGGUGAGUAGGAAUGGCAAGAUCUGGGAGGAGUGGGGGAGGGGAAAGACUAUAACAAAAUAUAUUGUAUAAUUUUCAAAUUAAUUAGCCCUUCUGUGUGCAUUUUGCCUCCAUGUAUUUAUGUGCAGUACAUGUCUGAAGUGCCUGCAGAGCCAGAAGAGGACUUUUUGUUCAUUUGUUUGUUUGUCUUUUAUUUUUUAUCUUUUGGGACUGGAGUCGCAGACCAUUGAAAGCCACCAUGUGGGUGCUGGCAACCAAACCCAGGUCCUUCGUAGAAGCAAGUGCUGUUAACCACAGGGCCAUGUCACUCGCCCCACUCAUUUAUCUCUUGAUGACAAACAUUAUGACUUCAGUGAGGCCAAAGAGUUUUCAGGGUUGCUUCCCUUCUUCUUCUCACCGAAGAGGGCGAGAUCAGAAAGAUCAUGGCAGAUGCUCUGGCACUCAGGGCUCACAUUGAACUUGGAGCUCAUGAACUACACCUGUUCUGCCAGCCCCUGGCAUACGCCUGUCUCUGCCUGCAAGCACUGGACCACAGACAUGCGCUUGACCAUCAGACUUUUCCCAUGAGCGAGAAGGACCCAGACUCCACACUCCACUGAGCCACCUCUUCUCUUCCAUUCCUCAUGGGAGCCUCAAAAGACUCGAGUGCUAAGAUAUCAAAUAAAAUAAGACGGUUAAAGAGAAGGUGGAUAUGGGCCACUGUCAUCCUGGUAUUUGUGGAAACCAGAGGGUAAGGGAUCCUGGAGAGCUGGAGUUACAGGUGGUGUGAGCUGACAGCAAUCAUGUAACAUGUCUGGUUAUGAUGGACUAGGCACAGAACCAGAGUGGUCUGUAUCCCUGAGCUGCUAAGAGAACUAUGAUUCGGCUUCUGUUAACCAAGCACCAGCUUGAACUAUGAAUAAAACUGUAUUGCUUUAA
This 1749-nucleotide small RNA is filed under the name Rattus norvegicus (Norway rat). RNAcentral's name for it is "uncharacterized LOC102547236". Lineage: Eukaryota; Metazoa; Chordata; Mammalia; Rodentia; Muridae. The record is from RNAcentral.